This 542-nucleotide ribosomal RNA is filed under the name uncultured bacterium. Its description in RNAcentral is "bacterial SSU rRNA". It matches the Rfam family "Bacterial small subunit ribosomal RNA", at positions 355 to 913 of the family's 1533-position model. The record is from RNAcentral.
UGGGGAAUCUUGGACAAUGGGGGCAACCCUGAUCCAGCCAUGCCGCGUGAGUGAUGAAGGCCUUAGGGUCGUAAAGCUCUUUCGCCUGUGAAGAUAAUGACGGUAGCAGGUAAAGAAACCCCGGCUAACUCCGUGCCAGCAGCCGCGGUAAUACGGAGGGGGUUAGCGUUGUUCGGAAUUACUGGGCGUAAAGCGCACGUAGGCGGACCAGAAAGUUGGGGGUGAAAUCCCGGGGGCUCAACCCCGGAACUGCCUCCAAAACUAUUGGUCUAGAGUUCGAGAGAGGUGAGUGGAAUUCCAAGUGUAGAGGUGAAAUUCGUAGAUAUUUGGAGGAACACCAGUGGCGAAGGCGGCUCACUGGCUCGAUACUGACGCUGAGGUGCGAAAGUGUGGGGAGCAAACAGGAUUAGAUACCCUGGUAGUCCACACCGUAAAACGAUGAAUGCCAGUCGUCGGGUAGCAUGCUAUUCGGUGACACACCUAACGGAUUAAGCAUUCCGCCUGGGGAGUACGGUCGCAAGAUUAAAACUCAAAUGAAUUGA